Molecule: ribosomal RNA, 504 nt
Filed under: uncultured bacterium
Lineage: Bacteria
Description: bacterial SSU rRNA
Rfam family: Bacterial small subunit ribosomal RNA
Source: RNAcentral
GAUGAACGCUGGCGGCGUGCCUCAAACAUGCAAGUCGAGCGAGGCUAUGAAUUACCGCAAGGUAAGGCAUAGCCUAGCGGCGAACGGGUGAGUAACACGUGGGUAACCUACCUGGAAGACAGGGAUAACGAUUCGAAAGGGUCGCUAAUACCUGAUAAUAUCCGUCUGCCGGAUGGCGGAGGGAAGAAAGGGGAAACCCGCUUUUCAGACGGGCCCGCGUCCCAUCAGCUAGUUGGUAAGGUAAAGGCUUACCAAGGCGACGACGGGUAGCCGGUCUGAGAGGAUGUACGGCCACACUGGGACUGAGAUACGGCCCAGACUCCUACGGGAGGCAGCAGUUGGGAAUCUUAGGCAAUGGACGAAAGUCUGACCUAGCGACGCCGCGUGAGGGAAGAAGGCCUUGGGUUGUAAACCUCUGUCAUGGGGGAAGAAGGGAAGUGACGGUACCCCAAGAGGAAGCCCCUGCUAACUACGUGCCAGCAGCCGCGGUAAAGCUAACGUAGA